UGGGGAAUAUUGGACAAUGGGCGGAAGCCUGAUCCAGCAACGCCGCGUGAGGGAUGACGGCCUUCGGGUUGUAAACCUCUUUCAGCACAGACGAAGCGCAAGUGACGGUAUGUGCAGAAGAAGGACCGGCCAACUACGUGCCAGCAGCCGCGGUAAUACGUAGGGUCCGAGCGUUGUCCGGAAUUAUUGGGCGUAAAGGGCUCGUAGGCGGUUUGUCGCGUCGGGAGUGAAAACACCGGGCUUAACUCGGUGCUUGCUUUCGAUACGGGCAGACUAGAGGCAUUCAGGGGAGAACGGAAUUCCUGGUGUAGCGGUGAAAUGCGCAGAUAUCAGGAGGAACACCGGUGGCGAAGGCGGUUCUCUGGGAAUGUCCUGACGCUGAGGAGCGAAAGUGUGGGGAGCGAACAGGAUUAGAUACCCUGGUAGUCCACACCGUAAACGUUGGGCGCUAGGUGUGGGAUCCAUUCCACGGGUUCCGUGCCGCAGCUAACGCAUUAAGCGCCCCGCCUGGGGGUACGGCCGCAAGGCUAAAACUU
RNAcentral lists this ribosomal RNA (536 nucleotides) under uncultured bacterium. RNAcentral describes it as "partial 16S ribosomal RNA". It matches the Rfam family "Bacterial small subunit ribosomal RNA", at positions 355 to 902 of the family's 1533-position model. The record is from RNAcentral.